AUUGAACGCUGGCGGCAGGCCUAACACAUGCAAGUCGAACGGUAACAGGAAGAAGCUUGCUUCUUUGCUGACGAGUGGCGGACGGGUGAGUAAUGUCUGGGAAACUGCCUGAUGGAGGGGGAUAACUACUGGAAACGGUAGCUAAUACCGCAUAACGUCGCAAGACCAAAGAGGGGGACCUUCGGGCCUCUUGCCAUCGGAUGUGCCCAGAUGGGAUUAGCUAGUAGGUGGGGUAACGGCUCACCUAGGCGACGAUCCCUAGCUGGUCUGAGAGGAUGACCAGCCACACUGGAACUGAGACACGGUCCAGACUCCUACGGGAGGCAGCAGUGGGGAAUAUUGCACAAUGGGCGCAAGCCUGAUGCAGCCAUGCCGCGUGUAUGAAGAAGGCCUUCGGGUUGUAAAGUACUUUCAGCGGGGAGGAAGGGAGUAAAGUUAAUACCUUUGCUCAUUGACGUUACCCGCAGAAAAAGCACCGGCUAACUCCGUG
This 490-nucleotide ribosomal RNA is filed under the name uncultured bacterium. Its description in RNAcentral is "partial 16S ribosomal RNA". It matches the Rfam family "Bacterial small subunit ribosomal RNA", at positions 30 to 507 of the family's 1533-position model. The record is from RNAcentral.